GCAUUGGUGGUUCAGUGGUAGACUUCUUGCCUACCACGCGGUAGACCUGGGUCCGAUUCCCGGCCAAUGCA
Danio rerio (zebrafish) is the source of this 71-nucleotide non-coding RNA. The record is from Rfam. Lineage: Eukaryota; Metazoa; Chordata; Actinopteri; Cypriniformes; Danionidae.